Ictidomys tridecemlineatus (thirteen-lined ground squirrel) is the source of this 2411-nucleotide non-coding RNA. The record is from RefSeq and is a predicted model, not a curated record. Lineage: Eukaryota; Metazoa; Chordata; Mammalia; Rodentia; Sciuridae.
GGGGUGGUGAUUUAAGGGCUGGGGCAGGGGUCUGUGGGGCUGGGCUGGGUCAAGGACAAGUGGCCCAGAGCUCAGCCUCAAGCUGCUGGCUGCCCAGGGAGACAGGCUCCUGCUGCUAACUCCCUGGGGCACAAGGAAGGGUAAUGGGACAUUCUUUGGGGUGUGGGCUCCCUCCAAGGUGGGGGUGUCUCCCGAGGGGCAGGGUCUUUACUGAGGGGUCCCUGUUGAGAAGAUGAGUCUGAACCCUGGCCAGCCCGGUCCCCCAGGGGCCGUGCCCCCUGGGGUCCUGUGGCCCCUGGCUCUUGGCCCUCAUGCCUCAGCCCUGUGGGUCCAGGCUGGCACACCUGACUCUUCUCACCCCCAUUUGUGGGAGGCACCUGCUCCGUGGGACUGUGGAGCACACCCAGAGCUCCAGGCCUGGGUCAGGGUGAGGAUACUGGGUCCUGGGGCUGACGAGCCCCAAGGUGCUCACCAACCCAUGAAAAGAGACCUUGACCUGUGAGGGCUUCUGGCAGACACCGCAAAGCAACCUCAGCCCUGAGGGGCCUGGGACCCUGACCCCUGGCCUCAGCCCUGGCUGUCAGCUGCACUGUGAGGGCUGGAGCAGGGCAGGCAGCUGGUGAGCCUGGCAGGGAGAGCAGGUGGGCACAGCCUGCAGCCACCCUCCCCGAGGGCCAGACCACAGACCACGCAGAGUGCGCCACUCCUGAGGUGGGCCCGGCACACACCAGAGCUCCAGAACAGUUGGCUCAAAGGGUGGCAUUCAAAAAGAGACAAGCUUUCAGUUUUUUAUCUCAUUGAACUGGAAAGAACAGACCAGAGAAAUAUCUGGCAUUGCUCUGGGGUCUGAGCCAAGGAGUCUUUGUGACAAUGCUGCCUGUCUUGUGUGCCUGAGCCCGGCAACUUAAGGCAGGGGAGUUUCAGCCAGAAUUCUGGAAAGUUCUCCACGUCUCUGAAUUGGCUCCACAUGCCAUAUCCAGUUAUUUCCAGUUGAGAUGAUAAAGGGAAAGAAUCAGAAGCUGUUGCCCUAGCCAUGGCCUAUAGAGCCAGCACCAGCUCCACGGAACAGGAGAGACACAGGCAACCCUCCCCCAGCACACCUCGGAAACGGAAAACCAAUGAAGAUGGAAACCAGGAAAGACAGCGCCAGUGACUUAAAACUAAGGAAUCUGUGACACCACAGGAACAAACGGGACAGUCCAAGGGGUUCCAGACCUUCAAUUCUAUGACAGUGCAUGCUGUUCUUUGAUAACUGUAGUGAAAAGUAGAGUGACCAGGUCCAGGCACAGUGGCCAUGCUUAUCAUCCCAGCCACUCGGGAGUCAGAGCAGGAGGGUCACAAGUUCAGGGCCCUCCUGGGCCACUCAGGAAGACCCGGUCCCAAAAUAAAAGGUCUGGAGUGCAGCUCAGUGGUAGAGCAGCCCUGAACUCAACUGCCAGUCCUGAAAAAGAGAGAGAGAAGAGGGAGGGGAGAAGCACGUAGUGACCCUUUAUCAGAUCUUGAAACUUGGCCAAAUGGUGCUUACCAGCUUCUACAGGUUGAAAAUGAAGAGGAAUUUCUCAAACAAAACUGAUUAAAUAGGGCCACUCUCCCGGGCGUGGUGGAGGUGAAACAUAAGCGUAUCACUUAGCUAUUGUAGCUCAGCCAGCUGCAGCUGUUGCAGACACCCCAUGUCAGUAUUAUAAGGGCUGGAAGACAGGCUGGGGUUUUUUUUGUUGUUGUUUUUCCAGAGCUAGGGACAAAACCCAGGGCCCACGCAGGCUCGACUACCAUUGAGCCAUACCCCAGCACUUUUCAUUUUCUGUUUGGGGACGUGGUCUCACUAAGUUGCCCAGGCUUGGCCUCAAUCCUGGAUCCUCCUGCCUCCUCAGUCUUCUGAGUUGCUGCGGUGACAGGCGUAGACAUUGCGCCUGGCAGCGGGAGAUGAUUGUAGUGUAGCAGUUGUCAGUUCCUCAGAAGUUGAGAGAAUCCAGCCCCAGGAACAUCACAGGCAUGAAGACAAGUGUCCUCGACCCGUGGGCUGCCGGGACCCAGCCUCUGGCUCAGCAGAGAGAACAGAGUGUUGGCAGGGCUCAGGCGCACGGCUGCCACUGUGCGCUCCCAGGCGAGAAGCCAAGACCAUGCCCAGGAGCUCCACAGGUGACCUGGGCAAGUUCCCUGCACCCCCGUGGCUCUCGCAUCCCUCCUCGCUGGAGAAGUCGGGCCUCCCUUCACUUACCCUGCGCUCGCUUUUUUGGGUGAAUUCUGUCCUUCCUUAUUGAUUUAUGGGAGUUCUGUGUGUAUUCUGGGUGUACUUAAGACUCUAAGAUUUUUCCCUCAGCCUUCAUUUUGAUUUGUCCCAAUCUGUCAAUUCUGGCCAGAGCUCUGGUCAUGCACACCCCAGGCUGCAAAAAUUUUGCUUUAUCUUCUGU